GCCAGGCGUGGUGGCGGGCGCCUGUAGUCCCAGCUACUUGGGAGGCUGAGGCAGAAGAAUCGCUUGAACCCGGGAGGCGGAGGUUGCAGUGAGCCAAGAUUGUGCCACUGCACUCCAGCCUGGGUGACCAAGCGAGAUUCCGUCUCAA
This 148-nucleotide non-coding RNA is filed under the name Chlorocebus sabaeus (green monkey). The record is from Rfam by way of RNAcentral. Lineage: Eukaryota; Metazoa; Chordata; Mammalia; Primates; Cercopithecidae.